RNAcentral lists this long non-coding RNA (620 nucleotides) under Olea europaea subsp. europaea. The record is from RNAcentral. Lineage: Eukaryota; Viridiplantae; Streptophyta; Magnoliopsida; Lamiales; Oleaceae.
CUUUGCAUGUACUUAAUCAAUCUUCUGAAUCAAGUAAAGAUUUAAAAUGUUUUUUGAAAUCAUUAGGGUCCACAACUGCUUCCGCAAAAGACUUUUCAAUUAAGGUUGCAUUUCUUAUUCUAGAGAACUAGUCGUGUUUCCACAGACACUAUUUCACAGUAUUCAGAGUCUCUGUUUUCACCUCUAUCCAAACUCUUUUCAGAAUCAAAUUCCUACUUGAAACGAAAUUUUAAAAAAUAACUCACACGCAAGGUGCUACAAUUUUGUUAGAAGUCUGCCUUUUUUCCCCUAAACCAUUCAUCAAAGAUGGGUACUUUGGCAUGGCUAACAUUCAUUCAAAAUCAAUGUUUUGAAAAUCUUUUAAAAUCUCUAUCUAUACUGCCGAGGAAUCAUGAGAAAUUUAACGAAAUCCUUUUAUGAAAACUUUGUUGAACAUAACAAACUUUACUUUAAUAUUCAUGAACUAAAGUUGUACAUGCUUACAAACUAUAUUUACAUACAUUUGGUACUCACCUUAUGAAGUUUAGAACUCCAUAAGUGAUUACCUUAUUACACGCUUUCCUAUCUUCAGGCUAUCUAGUAUUUUUCUGAAUACAAGUGGUGUAUACAGAUUACAAAAG